RNAcentral lists this transfer RNA (46 nucleotides) under Hemitheconyx caudicinctus (African fat-tailed gecko). RNAcentral describes it as "tRNA-Gln". The record is from RNAcentral. Lineage: Eukaryota; Metazoa; Chordata; Lepidosauria; Squamata; Eublepharidae.
AAGAGGUGGUGCAAAUUUGGGGGACAGGCUCAGUGUCCUGUUUUUA